GUGGUAAUGCCGGAUGUUCCACAUGAUCGCAUGUGAUUGUGGGAAAGAUUCUAUCGGCGUGGGAUGGGGUCGCGUCCUAUCAGCUUGUUGGUGAGGUAACGGCUCACCAAGGCUUCGACGGGUAGCCGGCCUGAGAGGGCGACCGGCCACAUUGGGACUGAGAUACGGCCCAGACUCCUACGGGAGGCAGCAGUGGGGAAUAUUGCACAAUGGGCGCAAGCCUGAUGCAGCGACGCCGCGUGAGGGAUGGAGGCCUUCGGGUUGUAAACCUCUUUUGUUUGGGAGCAAGCCUUCGGGUGAGUGUACCUUUCGAAUAAGCGCCGGCUAACUACGUGCCAGCAGCCGCGGUAAUACGUAGGGCGCAAGCGUUAUCCGGAUUUAUUGGGCGUAAAGGGCUCGUAGGCGGCUCGUCGCGUCCGGUGUGAAAGUCCAUCGCUUAACGGUGGAUCUGCGCCGGGUACGGGCGGGCUGGAGUGCGGUAGGGGAGACUGGAAUUCCCGGUGUAACGGUGGAAUG
RNAcentral lists this ribosomal RNA (516 nucleotides) under Bifidobacterium bifidum. RNAcentral describes it as "bacterial SSU rRNA". It matches the Rfam family "Bacterial small subunit ribosomal RNA", at positions 160 to 688 of the family's 1533-position model. The record is from RNAcentral. Lineage: Bacteria; Bacillati; Actinomycetota; Actinomycetes; Bifidobacteriales; Bifidobacteriaceae.